AGCGUACACGGUGGAUGCCCUGGCAGUCAGAGGCGAUGAAGGACGUGCUAAUCUGCGAUAAGCGUCGGUAAGGUGAUAUGAACCGUUAUAACCGGCGAUUUCCGAAUGGGGAAACCCAGUGUGUUUCGACACACUAUCAUUAACUGAAUCCAUAGGUUAAUGAGGCGAACCGGGGGAACUGAAACAUCUAAGUACCCCGAGGAAAAGAAAUCAACCGAGAUUCCCCCAGUAGCGGCGAGCGAACGGGGAGGAGCCCAGAGCCUGAAUCAGUGUGUGUGUUAGUGGAAGCGUCUGGAAAGGCGCGCGAUACAGGGUGACAGCCCCGUACACAAAAAUGCACAUGCUGUGAGCUCGAUGAGUAGGGCGGGACACGUGGUAUCCUGUCUGAAUAUGGGGGGACCAUCCUCCAAGGCUAAAUACUCCUGACUGACCGAUAGUGAACCAGUACCGUGAGGGAAAGGCGAAAAGAACCCCGGCGAGGGGAGUGAAAAAGAACCUGAAACCGUGUACGUACAAGCAGUGGGAGCCUCUUUUAUGGGGUGACUGCGUACCUUUUGUAUAAUGGGUCAGCGACUUAUAUUCUGUAGCAAGGUUAACCGAAUAGGGGAGCCGAAGGGAAACCGAGUCUUAACUGGGCGUUAAGUUGCAGGGUAUAGACCCGAAACCCGGUGAUCUAGCCAUGGGCAGGUUGAAGGUUGGGUAACACUAACUGGAGGACCGAACCGACUAAUGUUGAAAAAUUAGCGGAUGACUUGUGGCUGGGGGUGAAAGGCCAAUCAAACCGGGAGAUAGCUGGUUCUCCCCGAAAGCUAUUUAGGUAGCGCCUCGUGAAUUCAUCUCCGGGGGUAGAGCACUGUUUCGGCAAGGGGGUCAUCCCGACUUACCAACCCGAUGCAAACUGCGAAUACCGGAGAAUGUUAUCACGGGAGACACACGGCGGGUGCUAACGUCCGUCGUGAAGAGGGAAACAACCCAGACCGCCAGCUAAGGUCCCAAAGUCAUGGUUAAGUGGGAAACGAUGUGGGAAGGCCCAGACAGCCAGGAUGUUGGCUUAGAAGCAGCCAUCAUUUAAAGAAAGCGUAAUAGCUCACUGGUCGAGUCGGCCUGCGCGGAAGAUGUAACGGGGCUAAACCAUGCACCGAAGCUGCGGCAGCGACACUAUGUGUUGUUGGGUAGGGGAGCGUUCUGUAAGCCUGUGAAGGUGUACUGUGAGGUAUGCUGGAGGUAUCAGAAGUGCGAAUGCUGACAUAAGUAACGAUAAAGCGGGUGAAAAGCCCGCUCGCCGGAAGACCAAGGGUUCCUGUCCAACGUUAAUCGGGGCAGGGUGAGUCGACCCCUAAGGCGAGGCCGAAAGGCGUAGUCGAUGGGAAACAGGUUAAUAUUCCUGUACUUGGUGUUACUGCGAAGGGGGGACGGAGAAGGCUAUGUUGGCCGGGCGACGGUUGUCCCGGUUUAAGCGUGUAGGCUGGUUUUCCAGGCAAAUCCGGAAAAUCAAGGCUGAGGCGUGAUGACGAGGCACUACGGUGCUGAAGCAACAAAUGCCCUGCUUCCAGGAAAAGCCUCUAAGCAUCAGGUAACAUCAAAUCGUACCCCAAACCGACACAGGUGGUCAGGUAGAGAAUACCAAGGCGCUUGAGAGAACUCGGGUGAAGGAACUAGGCAAAAUGGUGCCGUAACUUCGGGAGAAGGCACGCUGAUAUGUAGGUGAAGCGACUUGCUCGUGGAGCUGAAAUCAGUCGAAGAUACCAGCUGGCUGCAACUGUUUAUUAAAAACACAGCACUGUGCAAACACGAAAGUGGACGUAUACGGUGUGACGCCUGCCCGGUGCCGGAAGGUUAAUUGAUGGGGUCAGCGCAAGCGAAGCUCUUGAUCGAAGCCCCGGUAAACGGCGGCCGUAACUAUAACGGUCCUAAGGUAGCGAAAUUCCUUGUCGGGUAAGUUCCGACCUGCACGAAUGGCGUAAUGAUGGCCAGGCUGUCUCCACCCGAGACUCAGUGAAAUUGAACUCGCUGUGAAGAUGCAGUGUACCCGCGGCAAGACGGAAAGACCCCGUGAACCUUUACUAUAGCUUGACACUGAACAUUGAGCCUUGAUGUGUAGGAUAGGUGGGAGGCUUUGAAGUGUGGACGCCAGUCUGCAUGGAGCCGACCUUGAAAUACCACCCUUUAAUGUUUGAUGUUCUAACGUUGACCCGUGAUCCGGGUUGCGGACAGUGUCUGGUGGGUAGUUUGACUGGGGCGGUCUCCUCCUAAAGAGUAACGGAGGAGCACGAAGGUUGGCUAAUCCUGGUCGGACAUCAGGAGGUUAGUGCAAUGGCAUAAGCCAGCUUGACUGCGAGCGUGACGGCGCGAGCAGGUGCGAAAGCAGGUCAUAGUGAUCCGGUGGUUCUGAAUGGAAGGGCCAUCGCUCAACGGAUAAAAGGUACUCCGGGGAUAACAGGCUGAUACCGCCCAAGAGUUCAUAUCGACGGCGGUGUUUGGCACCUCGAUGUCGGCUCAUCACAUCCUGGGGCUGAAGUAGGUCCCAAGGGUAUGGCUGUUCGCCAUUUAAAGUGGUACGCGAGCUGGGUUUAGAACGUCGUGAGACAGUUCGGUCCCUAUCUGCCGUGGGCGCUGGAGAACUGAGGGGGGCUGCUCCUAGUACGAGAGGACCGGAGUGGACGCAUCACUGGUGUUCGGGUUGUCAUGCCAAUGGCACUGCCCGGUAGCUAAAUGCGGAAGAGAUAAGUGCUGAAAGCAUCUAAGCACGAAACUUGCCCCGAGAUGAGUUCUCCCUGACUCCUUGA
Molecule: ribosomal RNA, 2786 nt
Filed under: Escherichia coli
Lineage: Bacteria; Pseudomonadati; Pseudomonadota; Gammaproteobacteria; Enterobacterales; Enterobacteriaceae
Description: bacterial LSU rRNA
Rfam family: Bacterial large subunit ribosomal RNA
Source: RNAcentral